AUCAGUAACUCAGGCUGUUUCCCACACUACAGGCCAGCACUGUGGGCUCUCAGUUUAUUGGGAAAUGGAAAUAAGAGGGAAGGACAAAAGUCCACUGGGAAGCAGACUGGACAGAAAGGAACUCUGAGCAGCUAAACUCUGACUAAUCCCAGGGUAUACCUGCGUUUUCUCUUCACCAGACAAACUGCGGCCUGGACCAGCUGGUGAAACAUAAUUCUGAAUCCUGCCCACAGCCUUCGGUGGUUUUGGAUGAAAGGCCAGCGCCUUGGGAGCCCUGCGUUUGAUUUCAAGUUUUAAGGCCGGCACUGGUGGAGCAAUGAAUGGUGAAAGCUCUCCCCUUAAAGGAGCACAGUUGCCUUUAGGUGACUGCUAACUCAGGCUUUUGCUGAGGACAGUGUUUACUUUGUGAGCUUAAUGACAGGGCUGGCUUUCUGGGAGUGUUGCAAUGAAACAGACUCAGACACAGGCCAUCAUGGGCCUCCUCCCUAGCAAGGCCGCCACGGCUGGCAUCUCAAGAGCAGUCCGUUGAACUUGGGAUUUGGGUGUGAGACACAGUUUCAUCAGAAGAAUUUAAACCAAAGUCUACAUUUGCCCUCUAGAUAAAUGUGUGUGUUCAGCAGCAACCACAAAAAAAAAAAAAAAAA
This 644-nucleotide long non-coding RNA is filed under the name Homo sapiens (human). RNAcentral's name for it is "uncharacterized LOC100505774 (LOC100505774)". The record is from RNAcentral. Lineage: Eukaryota; Metazoa; Chordata; Mammalia; Primates; Hominidae.